AAUUUUGUUUGAUCUGAAGUUGCAUGCUGUCGUACAGUGAUGUAUCAUUGCCUGCAAUCCUCCACAAAUGUCUUCAUCUUCUUCUUCCUCCCCCCACCCACCGCUCAAUUAAUUGUAAACGGUCCCCUCCAAAUCCCCACCAACAAAUCUCAAGUAUAAAGCAGAUCUCACUCUGCAACCCACAUUUCAAAUGCAGCAGGUGUACUUGAUUGAGUCUGACCCAUUUCCAGAACAUUUGCGCAUGGAGACAGACUUAUGGAGGGUCUAAUCAAUGGAAGAAGACGUGUGUUGCUCAACAGAGACCCCACUUUCUCCAUGUGAAAUGUGGGCCGUUGGAUUUCUUUAAAGCUUACUACUGUGCAUAAAGUGAAUUUGCAGCAUUAAAAAUGGAUGGGUUCCCUUUGGAUUUUUCUUGUGAUUUCAAAGAUUUGUUCUUGGUUGGUACACUAAGUGACAAAUUUGUUGGGUUUUAUAACAAAAACGACCAAAAGACAUGGAUAACAUUGUGCACAUCAACUGUUUGAUGAAAUGACUCUGUGAAUUUUCAUUUCUAUUAUGACAAAUGAUCAGACUCUGCAAAGCUUAAUUUAGGUUAUAUGUAUAUAAUCAAGAGCUCUAACACGUUUAUGUAAUGUGUUUUCGUUACCGAACCGAUCAAAAGACAUGGAUAAGAUUUUGCACAUCAACUGUUUGAUUAAAUGACUCUAUGAAUUUUUCAAGCCUAUUAUGACCCCUGAUCAGACUGAGAAACUUAUUUUAGGUUAGCUUUAACAUGUUUUGUAACAUAGUUUCAUAAGUAGACCAGUCAUCGAACCGACCGCCUUACUGUUUAGAUGGGCCGCGAUUAGAAUGGAAAUCAAUUCUUUAAUGAAUAGUGGAUGCUCAAAAUUCAAGAAUCAUGUUAGUAAUUCAAGAACUAAUGGCUCAAAAUUCAAAAAAGGAAAUUAAUAGUCAGAUCAAAAUCAGUGCAACACUUUCCCAAAAAUAGGAAGAAAGAACAGUGGAUUAGGAUUCAAGUUUGAGACUUUAGUUAAUUAAAUUUGUUUGUAAUAAAAGGCCAUCACAUCACCAAACAUGUCCCUUAUUCUCCAAACAUAUUUUGACCUCUUUUGUCUUGUGCUCUUCUUCAUCUUCCAAAUAAUAUUCCAAUCCCCUUGAAGAUCUCCCUUGCAUCAUCAUCAUCAUCAUCAUAAUCACCAUCUUCUACAUCUUCUAUUUAUAGUGUUAUCAUAUCAUAUCUUCUAGUUAUUUAACUACUCAUGGCACCUGCAACCACCUGCUCUUCUUGCCUCAGGUUGCUUAUCACUGUCAUUCUUCUCUUUUCUCUCACACUCUCACCUUCCUUUUCAGUUUAUGAAGGGGCAUCUGUUGUGCAACAAAAGAAGAAAAUAUUGGGAUCAAGACCACCAGGAUGUGUGAACAAGUGUAUGAAGUGUUCACCAUGUCAAGCCACUCUGGUUGUUCCUCCACACCAUAAGAUGAUUGGGUACAGAGAGCAAUCUUCUCAUGGUGAAGAUGAUUGUUAUUAUCUUCUUUCAUGGAAAUGCAAAUGUGGUGACAAACUCUUUCAACCUUGAAUUUAGUCAUGAUUAAUUAGAUAUAAGUUUUUAUGUGUAAGAUAGUGUAUGUAUAAUGUUGAUGCUUAUUUCCUGUUCUCUGUGAUUAAUAUAGAUCUCUAAUUCUCUAUU
Long non-coding RNA from Helianthus annuus (common sunflower), 1688 nucleotides. RefSeq lists it as uncharacterized. The record is from RefSeq and is a predicted model, not a curated record. NCBI's taxonomy places the organism in Eukaryota, Viridiplantae, Streptophyta, Magnoliopsida, Asterales, Asteraceae. The transcript has 3 exons.